Long non-coding RNA from Dendronephthya gigantea, 788 nucleotides. RefSeq lists it as uncharacterized. The transcript is spliced from 5 exons. The record is from RefSeq and is a predicted model, not a curated record. Lineage: Eukaryota; Metazoa; Cnidaria; Anthozoa; Malacalcyonacea; Nephtheidae.
AAAUUACUAUGAACGUCCAAUCAAAAGCGUUGUUGAGCUGUCAGGUCGGGAGUGUUCAUCCAAUAGGAUGACUUUAUUUUGCAGACACGAGGAGCGGGUGAAAUGAAUAUGUGCUUUUGAUUCCAGUUUGAGACAUCAUUUCAACGCUGGUCUUCGAAGAAUAAAGAUGAGUCUUCUCCACGCCAAGAAAAUUUCAAUAGAAAUUGCUAUCAGAUUGCUAUCGUCUUCAGCAGAGGAGAAGUUUAAUAGAAGUUUACUAUCUCUGACAGACCGUCGUUGGUGUAAUACCAGAAUUUUGACGAAUUAAAGCGAAAUUAAACGAUAAAAUUUGUGAACAAGAGAUUGACUACCGCUGAAUGGCGGCUGAACUGGCUCAAGAUAACUCGCCUUUGAAGAGAAAGCACGUCUAGGCCUUUUCUUGGGACUUGUUGAUUAUAUGAGAAAGGUGGAGUUUAAAAGCUAAAACCAAACCGAAUAUAGAAAUGAGCUGGAAAAGAAAACUCAUUGCUGAAAUUCCCCGAGAUGACUCGCAUUUCAGGAGACAGCAAGUUCAAAGCUGCUCUUCAACACUUGUUGCUGAAAUGAACAGGUAGCGAUUGAGCGGGUCAAGCCAUUUGAAACGACGACAAAACCUGUUCAUAAUAAAACGUUGAUGGGCUCUGUUGAGCUAUUACCGACAAGCCAAAUCGACGGCAAAAUCUACGUCUAAAGUAGGCAAUCUCGACGGCAAAUCUACGCCUAAUGUAGGCAAUCUCGACGGCAAAUCUACGCCUAAUGUAGGCAACUUC